CUCAGGGAGGUAGUGACAAGAAAUAACAACACUGGAAAUUUUAUUUCUAGUGAUUGGAAUGAUGGGAAUUUAAACCCCUUUCAGAGUAACAAUUGGAGGGCAAGUCUGGUGCCAGCAGCCGCGGUAAUUCCAGCUCCAAUAGCGUAUAUUAAAGUUGUUGCAGUUAAAAAGCUCGUAGUUGGAUGUCUGCUGGAAGCAAUCAGUCCGCCCUAUUUGUAGGGUGUGCACUUGAUGAAUUCUGGCAUCUAUGUCCUAAUGUGAUAGAUACGGCGGUGUAUAUGGGUUAAUCCUAUAUACCCGUUUUUGUAUAUUAUAUUGGGAUAAUACCGUUACUUUGAGAAAAUUAGAGUGUUUGAAGCAGGCUAAUUGCCUUGAAUACUGCAGCAUGGAAUAACAAUAUAGGAUUUCGGUUCUAUUUUGUUGGUUUCUAGGACUGAAAUAAUGAUUAAUAGGGACAGUUGGGGGCAUUCGUAUUUAACUGUCAGAGGUGAAAUUCUUGGAUUUGUUAAAGACGAACUACUGCGAAAGCAUUUGCCAAAGAUGUUUUCAUUAAUCAAGAACGAAAGUUAGGGGCUCGAAGACGAUCAGAUACCGUCGUAGUCUUAACCAUAAACUAUGCCGACUAGAGAUAGGAAAAUGUCAUUUUUCUGACUU
This 654-nucleotide ribosomal RNA is filed under the name Sarcocystis hjorti. Its description in RNAcentral is "SSU rRNA". It matches the Rfam family "Eukaryotic small subunit ribosomal RNA", at positions 455 to 1077 of the family's 1831-position model. The record is from RNAcentral. Lineage: Eukaryota; Apicomplexa; Conoidasida; Eucoccidiorida; Sarcocystidae.